GACGAACGCUGGCGGCGUGCUUAACACAUGCAAGUCGAACGGAAAGGCCCUGCCUUUGUGGGGUGCUCGAGUGGCGAACGGGUGUGUAACACGUGAGUAACCUGUCCUUGACUUUGGGAUAACUUCAGGAAACUGGGGCUAAUACCGGCUAGGAGCUCCUGCUGCAUGGAGGGGGUUGGAAAGUGUCGGCGGUUGGGGAUGGACUUGCGGCUUAUCAGCUUGUUGGUGGGGUAGUGGCGUACCAAGGCUUUGACGGGUAGCAGGCCUGAGAGGGUGACCGGCCACAUUGCGACUGAGAUACGGCCCAGACUCCUACGGGAGGCAGCGGUGGGGAAUAGUGCACAAUGGGCGGAAGCCUGAUGCAGCAACGCCGCGUGCGGGAUGACGGCCUUCGGGUUGUAAACCGCUUUCGCCUGGGACGAAGCGUGAGUGACGGUAAUGGGUAAAGAAGCACCGGCUAACUACGUG
This 468-nucleotide ribosomal RNA is filed under the name uncultured bacterium. Its description in RNAcentral is "partial 16S ribosomal RNA". It matches the Rfam family "Bacterial small subunit ribosomal RNA", at positions 28 to 507 of the family's 1533-position model. The record is from RNAcentral.